Molecule: unclassified non-coding RNA, 256 nt
Filed under: Glomus sp.
Lineage: Eukaryota; Fungi; Glomeromycota; Glomeromycetes; Glomerales; Glomeraceae
Description: partial contains 5.8S ribosomal RNA and internal transcribed spacer 2
Rfam family: 5.8S ribosomal RNA (bases 1-65)
Source: RNAcentral
GUGAAUCAUCGAAUCUUUGAACGCAAAUUGCACUCUCUUCGGAGAGUAUGCCUGUUUGAGGGUCAGCCUAAAAAAAAAUCGACAUAGUUGCUGUUACGCGGUAACAUUCGUCGGAAAUUGGGUUAUCUUAAACCUUUGGGUUUAAGCGGCUUAUAAUUUUCUUUUCGAUUUCAAGAACGUUCCUAAGAUUUUAUUUUCUUAUACGUUUAAGGUAUCGAUCUUUAUUAGAAGUGGACGUAGAAUCGGAUAUUGUCCA